This is a non-coding RNA of Leptonychotes weddellii (Weddell seal), 2191 nucleotides long. The record is from RefSeq and is a predicted model, not a curated record. NCBI's taxonomy places the organism in Eukaryota, Metazoa, Chordata, Mammalia, Carnivora, Phocidae.
CCCCGUGUGUGGGGGGCACAGCCCUGGUGUCACAAUGACAGUAUGGUCUGUGCUCAGCAGCCCUCUUCAGAGGGGGAGCCCCCACUGCCUCUGAAAGUCAGUGCCCGGAAUGGCUUUGAUUGGCCCUGGGGGCCUCAGGGAGGGCGCCUCCAGGGAGGGCGCCUCCAGGGACGGCCCCUGGGGAAGGGCAGCUCCCCACAGGAGCCUGGCUGCCGUCUCCAGGUCUCCUCCGACGUGGGAGUCAGUCUGGCCGCAGGCGCCAUCCCCACCUCGGGCGAGGGCACACUGUGGCGGCUCCCUUGUGAGUUGCAAGUUAACGUCCAAACGCAGGACCUUCUUUGCUGAACAGUCAGAAGUCUUCCACAGUGUCAGGAAGUGACAGUUUCCCGCUCAUCUUCCCCGCCCUCUCCCAGAGCCUGCGCUCCUCUCCUUAGCAGAGGGACCUGCAAGCCUGUCCUCCAAGGAGCACGCCCACGCCGCCACACGUGUCCCAGCGUGUCCCAGUGUGUCCCCAGCGUGUCCCAGCGUGUCCCGUGUCCCAGCAUGUCCCCAUGUGUUCCAGCAUGUCUCCAGCGUGUCCCAGCGUGUCCCCGCAUGUCCCAAUGUGUCCCCAGUGUGUCCCGGCAUGUCCCCAGCGUGCCUGUGUCUCUAAGUUUCUUAGCAUAGUGCAGUGCCCCCUGUGGGCUCUGUGUGACCUCCUGCCCUGAGCCACGUUUCCCCAGAUCCCAUCCUGUCACACCCGUGUGACCGCCUGUCUGCCGAGCACCCGGCAGUUGUCAGGGGAGCAGACGCAGCCUCCACUUGGGAAGCUCUCUCUGCAGUGGGGGGGCCACACAGCGGCCAGCGUCCUCCGGUGACCCCGUGUAGGCCUCACCCGCCCCAUCGUCCCAUCUGCACCUGGGAGGGGUCAGCCAGGCGGGCAGGUUGUGGGGCGUGGGGUGUGAGUGUGGCCCCUGAGCCGAUGUUAACGCAGGUGCCCCUCGAGUCUGACCCUGCGGCCCUGGGUCUCGAGCUGUCCAUCAAAAGCCCGUUCACGCCCUCUUACCAGUCCAGAUCUGCCACCCUGCAGAGCUUGGUGUGGACGGCGGUCUCCGUCCCCUGGCCGCGGCUGGGGGGUCUGCUGGCCGGGCAGGACCACCCGAGGCCACGCUUGUGGCCAGCACGAGGCUCCUCUCUGUGCAGGGCCUCUCCAGAAGGUUCGCCUGUCCCAAGAGAAGCAGGGAAGCCACAUCUCUCCAUCGCACGGCUGUGUGCUGGGGUGCAGGCCGCUAGGGACGUGCCCUGGCUCAAGGCAGGGAGCUUGCGGGUGGGAGAUGAUUUCGUGGUGCUUCUGAGAACCAAGGGUGCAGUCCCUGUGCCCCGCCCUGCGCCCCUGGGCCGUGGAUGUUGCUGCAGCCGGCCCCUGGGGUCGGCGUCUGCCCGCCCCUCGCUGGCCUGCUGUCUGCAGGCGGCAGGGCCUGCCUCCAUGGGGAGACGGCCCCCUCGGCCACCCUGGUUCUGACUCACCGCGGCUUGUCAGCUGCCCUGCAUCCGCCUGCUCUGAGGCCGUGCCUCUCGGAGGCGCCCCCGCAGGAAGUGCCCAUGCCAGGCCCUGCCCGUUGCAGGCUCCUUCACAGACUCGGGAGACGAGCCGCCGUUUGCCACGCGUGACAGGUCUUCUCCCUGGCCCCGCGUUUCUCUCCCCUGGUGAUGUUUUCUGACGAAUGGAAGUCCUUGCUCUCAAGCUGGCGGCCUUCACGAAACACCAACUGUCCUUCAAGGACAGGGGUCCCUGGGUGCAGAUCCUUCCCCGUGCCGAGGACGGCUGAUGCCCUGGCUCUUCGGCCUUUCCUGCCGCGCUCCGUGAGCACCCGAGGCGGGGUGGAGGCCCGUCUGCGUGCGCGUCGGCUCUUGGCGUCCCGCAGGGGCUUCCUGUCCCUGCGCCGGAGGGGGCCAUCUUCGUUUCCGGAGCUUUCCAUCCAGUCUCGACGCCCACGGAGCCCAUCUUGUUCUUGUCUCAAGAUCACCGGUGUCCACAGCCCUUCGCCUGGAUGCCCAGACAUGAAUAUUGUUGGAAUUUGUAUCUGGGUCAAAUGAAAACUGCGGUUGAAUUUAGGGACAGUGGAUGUCUUUAUUUAGAUUCCAACCCCUGUUUAUAAUGUCAUUACUUAGACCUUUGUUUCUUUCAAUGACAGAGUUUCCUGUGUCGAUG